Myxocyprinus asiaticus (Chinese sucker) is the source of this 890-nucleotide long non-coding RNA. RefSeq lists it as uncharacterized. Lineage: Eukaryota; Metazoa; Chordata; Actinopteri; Cypriniformes; Catostomidae. The transcript is spliced from 3 exons. The record is from RefSeq and is a predicted model, not a curated record.
ACACAAUGAGUGAGAAGGACUUUUUUGUAUGACCCCCAUAAAAGACUCCCCGGCUUGAAUGAUAUAAGUAACAAGGGGUGGUGUGCUGCUAGCCUCUCUGACAUUAAGACUUUCUUUCAGUUUGUCUCUUUGCUGUAUAUCAGAGUAAAAAUGUCAGACAACGAAGAGGUGGAAGAAUACGAGGAGCAGGAGGGUAAGUCUUGUCUUUUUGUAAUCUUCUUUUUAUACUUUCUAACUAGAUAAUACUGUUUUGGUUUAAGAGUAGGUCAUAAAUAUUUCCCUUACAGCUACAGUGUGUCAGAGCCAUGAUGUAACCGGCCAUUAGGGAGAAUAUGGAGGUUUACGUAAAGACUACUGUAUAUGGUUGCAUGUUUUCAGCAAGGUUAUUAAAUAAUUGUCAUUACAUGGAAAUUCAACUGGGAAAUAUUUUAAACAGUACUCAAGGAGUUCACAAGACCCCAAUAACACUUUCACAACAUAUUUCAAUACCAGCCAAUCCGGUUUUUGUGCUGUAUACAUUACACCGAAAGACCAUUAUAGAUGAACUGACAGAGUUCUGACAUGUAAGUGUGGUUAUGAGAUAUGGUAAAGCGUCAUUUAGAUUUGUGUAUGUGAAAGCUGAGCUUGUCCUGUCAGUUACUUAAGAUCUGUUGACUUUGCUUGUCAGCUUUCAACAAAUACAUUUUCUACAAAUCACACCUAGAAUUGACACUUCUAGAAGAAAUAGAGCAGAAAGUUCUAGGGUAGAAACAUUAUCAAUAAUCCUUUAUUAUGUUUGACUGUUUCAAGUUUAAGCGUCACUUAUGAAUAGGUCCUUUUUUUAGUUUUUAGCUUCUAUUUGUACAUGAAUCCUCUAGCUGUUUAUUUGUUUAUUAACAUAAUCUGCAUGG